CUACCCUUGACAUGUCUGGGAGCCUGCUGAGAGGCGGGUGUGCCUGAAAGGGAACCGGAACACAGGUGCUGCAUGGCUGUCGUCAGCUCGUGUCGUGAGAUGUUGGGUUAAGUCCCGCAACGAGCGCAACCCUUGUCCCUAGUUGCUACGCAAGGGCACUCUAGGGAGACUGCCGGUGACAAACCGGAGGAAGGUGGGGAUGAUGUCAAGUCCUCAUGGCCCUUAUGGGUAGGGCUUCACACGUCAUACAAUGGCCGGUACAGAGGGUUGCCAAAGCGCGAGCUGGAGCCAAUCCCCAUAAAAGCCGGUCGUAGUCCGGAUUGCAGUCUGCAACUCGACUGCAUGAAGUCGGAAUCGCUAGUAAUCGCGGAUCAGCAUGUCGCGGUGAAUACGUUCCC
RNAcentral lists this ribosomal RNA (398 nucleotides) under uncultured soil bacterium. RNAcentral's name for it is "bacterial SSU rRNA". It matches the Rfam family "Bacterial small subunit ribosomal RNA", at positions 975 to 1375 of the family's 1533-position model. The record is from RNAcentral.